Molecule: long non-coding RNA, 267 nt
Filed under: Mytilus galloprovincialis (Mediterranean mussel)
Lineage: Eukaryota; Metazoa; Mollusca; Bivalvia; Mytilida; Mytilidae
Source: RNAcentral
GUCUUCUUUUGCUAUUAUUGUCCUUAACUAAUUUAUAACUAUGAGGAGAUCAUUGUUUGUUUAUUCAUGUUGUUAAAUGCAUGACUCUUUUUGUUGUAUGAAGAUCCAAGAUUGUAUAUGCACCAAGUGUAUAUACAGUUGAAUAGAUGCAUUUGAGUCCUCACAAUUAUUAUUUUUUUACGUUGUAAACAACCUCAAAAUCAAUCGUCAUAAAAUUUCUUAGAAUUUGGCUUACAAGUGAGGCCUUUUUUCAAAAUAAGUUUCCUG